This 285-nucleotide ribosomal RNA is filed under the name uncultured soil bacterium. RNAcentral describes it as "partial 16S ribosomal RNA". It matches the Rfam family "Bacterial small subunit ribosomal RNA", at positions 26 to 340 of the family's 1533-position model. The record is from RNAcentral.
AGAACGAACGCUGGCGGCAUGCCUAACACAUGCAAGUCGAACGAGACCUUCGGGUCUAGUGGCGCACGGGUGCGUAACGCGUGGGAAUCUGCCCUUGGUUCGGAAUAACAGCGAGAAAUUGCUGCUAAUACCGGAUGAUGACGUAAGUCCAAAGAUUUAUCGCCCAAGGAUGAGCCCGCGUAGGAUUAGCUUGUUGGUGAGGUAAGAGCUCACCAAGGCGACGAUCCUUAGCUGGUCUGAGAGGAUGAUCAGCCACACUGGGACUGAGACACGGCCCAGACUCUA